This 445-nucleotide ribosomal RNA is filed under the name uncultured bacterium. Its description in RNAcentral is "partial 16S ribosomal RNA". It matches the Rfam family "Bacterial small subunit ribosomal RNA", at positions 354 to 796 of the family's 1533-position model. The record is from RNAcentral.
GUGAGGAAUAUUGCGCAAUGGAGGCAACUCUGACGCAGCCAUGCCGCGUGCAGGAAGAAGGCGCUACGCGUUGUAAACUGCUUUUAACCGGGAAGAAACCCCAGGACGUGUCCUGGGUUGACGGUACCGGAGGAAUAAGCACCGGCUAACUUCGUGCCAGCAGCCGCGGUAAUACGAAGGGUGCAAGCGUUAUCCGGAUUCAUUGGGUUUACAGGGUGCGUAGGCGGAGCGGUAAGUCAGUGGUGAAAUCCUGCAGCUUAACUGUAGACUUGCCAUUGAUACUGGCGCUCUUGAGUGCGCUUGAAGUGGGCGGAAUGUGCCGUGUAGCGGUGAAAUGCUUAGAUAUGGCACAGAACACCAAUUGCGAAGGCAGCUCACUAAGGCGAUACUGACGCUGAGGCACGAAAGCGUGGGGAUCGAACAGGAUUAGAAACCCCUGUAGUCC